This 504-nucleotide ribosomal RNA is filed under the name uncultured bacterium. RNAcentral's name for it is "bacterial SSU rRNA". It matches the Rfam family "Bacterial small subunit ribosomal RNA", at positions 19 to 518 of the family's 1533-position model. The record is from RNAcentral.
CUGGCUCAGGAUGAACGCUAGCGGCAGGCUUAACACAUGCAAGUCGAGGGGCAUCGGGAGUAGCAAUACUGCCGGCGACCGGCGCAAGGGUGCGUAACGCGUGAGCAACAUGCCCGUAUCAGGGGGAUAAUCCAUGGAAACGUGGUCUAAUACCCCAUAGUAAUUAUGUAAGGCAUCUUAUAUAAUUUAAAGCUUUGGUGGAUACGGAUUGGCUCGCGUGACAUUAGCUAGAUGGUAAGGUAACGGCUUACCAUGGCUACGAUGUCUAGGGGUUCUGAGAGGAAGGUCCCCCACACUGGAACUGAGACACGGUCCAGACUCCUACGGGAGGCAGCAGUGAGGAAUAUUGGACAAUGGAUGGAAAUCUGAUCCAGCCAUGCCGCGUGCAGGAAAGACGGCCCUAUGGGUUGUAAACUGCUUUUGUAUGGGAGCAAUAAGGGCUACGUGUAGUCCGAUGAGAGUACCAUACGAAUAAGCACCGGCCAACUCCGUGCCAGCAGCGGC